This 481-nucleotide ribosomal RNA is filed under the name uncultured bacterium. Its description in RNAcentral is "partial 16S ribosomal RNA". It matches the Rfam family "Bacterial small subunit ribosomal RNA", at positions 30 to 507 of the family's 1533-position model. The record is from RNAcentral.
UUGAACGCUGGCGGCCUGCCUUACCCCUGCCAGUCGAACGGUAACAGGUCUUCGGAUGCUGACGAGUGGCGACCGGGUGAGUAAUACAUCGGAACGUGCCCGAUCGUGGGGGAUAACGAGGCGAAAGCUUUGCUAAUACCGCAUACGAUCUACGGAUGAAAGCGGGGGAUCUUCGGACCUCGCGCGGACGGAGCGGCCGAUGGCAGAUUAGGUAGUUGGUGGGAUAAAAGCUUACCAAGCCGACGAUCUGUAGCUGGUCUGAGAGGAUGAUCAGCCACACUGGGACUGAGACACGGCCCAGACUCCUACGGGAGGCAGCAGUGGGGAAUUUUGGACAAUGGGCGAAAGCCUGAUCCAGCCAUGCCGCGUGCAGGAUGAAGGCCUUCGGGUUGUAAACUGCUUUUGUACGGAACGAAAAGCCUCUUUCUAAUAAAGAGGGGUCAUGACGGUACCGUAAGAAUAAGCACCGGCUAACUACGUG